RNAcentral lists this ribosomal RNA (1468 nucleotides) under uncultured marine eukaryote. RNAcentral describes it as "bacterial SSU rRNA". It matches the Rfam family "Bacterial small subunit ribosomal RNA". The record is from RNAcentral.
GAGUUUGAUCCUGGCUCAGGAUGAACGCUGGGGGUUUGCCUAACACAUGCAAGUCGGACGAUUCUUAGAUUUUCUGUAGAAUAGUGGCGAACGGGUGAAAAACGCGUAAGAAUCUGCCUUUUGGAUAAGAAUAACAAUAGGAAACUGCUGCUAAGUCUUAAUAAGCCGAGGGGUUAAAGUAAAUCUAUACGAAGAAUGCCAAAAGAUGAGCUUGCGUCUGAUUAGUUUAUUAGAAUAGUAAUAAUCAUCUAAGACGAUGAUCAGUAGCUGGUCUGAGAGGACGAUCAGCCACACUGGGACUGAGAUACGGCCCAGACUCCUACGGGAAGCAGCAGUGAGGAAUAUUCCGCAAUGAGCGAAAGCUUGACGGAGCGAGACGGCGUGGUGGAAGAAAGCUUGUGGGUUGUAAACACCUUUUCUCUGAAACGACAUCCGACAUAUUAGAGGAAUCAGCAUCGGCUAACUCUGUGCCAGCAGCCGCGGUAAGACAGAGGAUGCAAGCGUUAUCCGAAUUGAUUGGGCAUAAAGCGUUCGUAGGUUGCUUUCUAAGUCUUUUGUUAAAAACUGGGGCCUAACUUCAGUUCAGCAUAGGAAACUUGAAGGAUUGAGUGUGGUAGAGGUAGUAGGAAUUCCCGGUGUAGCGGUGAAAUGCGUAGAGAUCGGGAAGAACACCAGAGGCGAAGGCGUGCUGCUGGGCCAUCACUGACACUAAGGGACGAAAGCUAGGAGAGCAAAUGGGAUUAGAUACCCCAGUAGUCCUAGCCUUAAACGAUGGAAACUAGGUUUUCCUUACCUUUUUCAUUUGAAAAAUAGAAUCUAGGUGAAUCGAAGCUAACGCGUUAAGUUUCCCGCCUGGGAAGUAUGCUUGCAAGAGUGAAACUCAAAGGAAUUGACGGGGGCCUGCACAAGCGGUGGAGCAUGUGGUUUAAUUCGAUGCAACGCGAAGAACCUUACCAGAGUUUGACAUGCUACUUCGCUAAGUAGGUGCUAACGAAAGUUAGUCUUAAUGCACAGGUGGUGCAUGGCUGUCGUCAGCUCGUGUCAUGAGAUGUUGGGUUAAGUCCUACAACGAUCGCAACCCUUUCUUUUUAUUGUAAUCUUAGAUAAAAAAGGACCGCCGAUAAUAAAUCGGAGGAAGGUGAGGAUGACGUCAAGUCAGCAUGCCCCUUACACUCUGGGCUACACACGUGCUACAAUGGUUAGGACAAAGCGUUACUACUUUGCAAAGGGGUGUAAAUCGUUAAACCUAACCUCAGUUCGAAUCCAUCUCUGCAACUCGAGACGAUGAAGUUGGAAUCGCUAGUAAUCGCUAGUCAGCUACAUAGCGGUGAAUACGUUCCCGGGCCUUGUACACACCGCCCGUCACACCAUGGAAGCGGGUUACGCCUGAAGUCGUUACUUUAACCACUAUGGAGAAGAAUGCCGAGGGUAGAAUUGGCGACUGGGGUGAAGUCGUAACAAGGUAACC